UCCUACGGGUGGCAGCAGUGGGGAAUAUUGGACAAUGGGCGCAAGCCUGAUCCAGCCAUGCCGCGUGAGUGAUGAAGGCCUUAGGGUUGUAAAGCUCUUUCACCGGAGAAGAUAAUGACGGUAUCCGGAGAAGAAGCCCCGGCUAACUUCGUGCCAGCAGCCGCGGUAAUACGAAGGGGGCUAGCGUUGUUCGGAAUUACUGGGCGUAAAGCGCACGUAGGCGGGCAUUUAAGUCAGGGGUGAAAUCCCAGAGCUCAACUCUGGAACUGCCUUUGAUACUGGGUGUCUGGAGUAUGGAAGAGGUGAGUGGAAUUCCGAGUGUAGAGGUGAAAUUCGUAGAUAUUCGGAGGAACACCAGUGGCGAAGGCGGCUCACUGGUCCAUUACUGACGCUGAGGUGCGAAAGCGUGGGGAGCAAACAGGAUUAGAUACCCCGGUAGUC
RNAcentral lists this ribosomal RNA (441 nucleotides) under uncultured Hyphomicrobiales bacterium. RNAcentral describes it as "bacterial SSU rRNA". It matches the Rfam family "Bacterial small subunit ribosomal RNA", at positions 337 to 795 of the family's 1533-position model. Lineage: Bacteria; Pseudomonadati; Pseudomonadota; Alphaproteobacteria; Hyphomicrobiales. The record is from RNAcentral.